Molecule: ribosomal RNA, 402 nt
Filed under: Triticum aestivum (bread wheat)
Lineage: Eukaryota; Viridiplantae; Streptophyta; Magnoliopsida; Poales; Poaceae
Description: partial small subunit ribosomal RNA
Source: RNAcentral
AUGCUUUAUGGCUUAGAAUCGGGACUUCAACGACAUUUUGAACGUCAUGGAGCAUAUGAGAUAUCCCAAGAGUUGAAGUUAAUAUUUCAAGUAAAUGCCCGUAUUGAGAGAUAUGAAGUCUCCAAUAAGUUCUACAGCUCCAAGAUGGAGGAGAAUAGUUCUGUCAAUGAACAUAUGCUCAGAAUGUCUGGGUACCACAACCACUUGACUCAACUGGGAGUUAAUCUUCCUGAUGAUAGUGUCAUUGACAAAGUUCUUCAAUCACUGCCACCAAGCUACAAAAGCUUUGUGAUGAACUAUAAUAUGCAAGGGAUGGAUAAGACAAUCCCCGAGCUCUUCGCAAUGCUAAAGGCCGCGGAGGUAGAAACCAAGAAGGAGCAUCAAGUGUUGAUGGUUAACAAG